Molecule: ribosomal RNA, 1232 nt
Filed under: uncultured bacterium
Lineage: Bacteria
Description: bacterial SSU rRNA
Rfam family: Bacterial small subunit ribosomal RNA
Source: RNAcentral
CGGAGUGGGGUAUAACCCCGCGAAAGCGGGGCUAAUUCCCCAUAUGCUCACAAGAUGCGAGUUUUGUGAGGAAAGGUUUCGGUCGCUCCGGGAUAGGCUUUUGUCCCAUCAGCUGGUUGGUGAGGUAAGGGCUUACCAAGGCGAUGACGGGUAGGGGGUGUGAGAGCAUGUCCCCCCACAUGGGAACUGAGAUACGGUCCCAACUCCUACGGGAGGCAGCAGUCUAGAAAUUUGCGCAAUGGGCGUAAGCCUGACGCAGCGACGCCGCGUGGGGGAUGGAGUCCUUCGGGAUGUAAACCCCUGUUGUCAGGGACGAUGAUGACGGUACCUGAUGAGGAAGCCACGGCUAACUCCGUGCCAGCAGCCGCGGUAAUACGGAGGUGGCGAGCGUUGUCCGGAAUCACUGGGCGUAAAGGGUGUGUAGGCGGUCUGAUGUGUCGGGUGUGAAAGCCUCCGACUUAAUUGGAGAAUGGCAUCCGAAACUAUCGGGCUUGAGGCUGUGAGGGGAGAGUGGAACUCGCGGUGUAGCGGUAGAAUGCGUGGAUAUCGCGAGGAAUGCCGAUGGCGAAAGCGGCUCUCUGGUGCGGUCUCGUAAGAGAGCUGAUUAGUCUGGGGUCUUCGGAUUCUGGGUUAAUCAGUCCUGACGCUGAAACACGAAAGCUGGGGGAGCAAACGGGAUUAGAUACCCCGGUAGUCCCAGCCCUAAACGAUGUGCACUUGGCAUUAUGCUAUUUUGGUGUGUGCCGGAGGUAACCUGUUAAGUGCACCGCCUGGGGACUACGGCCGCAAGGUUGAAACUCAAAGGAAUUGACGGGGACCCGCACAAGCGGUGGAGUAUGUGGUUUAAUUCGAGGCAACGCGAAGAACCUUACCUGGGCUUGACAUGCUGGUAGUACUGAGCUGAAAGGCGAGGGAUCCUGCUUCGGUAGGAAGCCAGCACAGGUGCUGCAUGGCUGUCGUCAGCUCGUGCCGUGAGGUGUUAGGUUAAGUCCUGCAACGAGCGCAACCCCUGCUCUUAGUUGCCAUCUUGCUUUUAUAAGUGAGGGCACUCUAAGGGGACUGCCUCGGUUAACGGGGAGGAAGGUGGGGAUGACGUCAAGUCAUCAUGGCCUUUAUGUCCAGGGCUACACACGUACUACAGUGCCUAUUACAAUGGGGUGCCAAGCCGUAAGGUGGAGCAAAUCUCAGCAAAGAUAGGCAUGGUUCGGAUUGUGGGCUGCAAUUCGCCCGCA